GCGCCAAGGCCUAACAUAUUGUGCAUUGUCUCUUCGUGCGCAGGGCAAAUAAAAAUCCAACAAGCAGACCUACAGUUGUGGCAGUGUCCUCAUUAAAUUACACAACGCAGAACGAACCACUCUACAUAAGCAACGUGUUGACGGUACCGAUGCACCAAGUCAAGAACCAACAGGAAACUGACCAGCUUCUACCCACAAGCCAUAAGAAAGCUAAAUAGUUAGUCCAGGUCCUGGAUACAUAGCUUGUUGAUGAGAAAGGUCGAAGGAGAAUGACAAGAAUCGUGCAAGCUAACAGGCGGGCCGCAAACAGGCAAAUAACGGCGCAGUAGAACAAUGGUGUGCAGAACAGCAUCACGCAACAUACAACUUGUUGGUUCCACUCCUAUCAGUCAAAGACUACAAGAAGUGGCUUCAGUGCAUGUGAUCACCAACACUGGACAACUGAGGGUGGAAAAGCAUUGCCUGUUCCGACGAAUCCCGUUUCAGUCAGGAUUUGCCAUAAGCAUUAUGAGUCCAUGGUCCCAUCCGGCCUAGUGUCAACUGUACAGGCUGGUGGCGGUGGUGUAAUGGUGUGGUAAAUGUUUUCCUGGCACACUUUAUGUCCCAUGAUACCAAUUGAGCAACGUUUGAACGCCACACCUUGUAGAAUCCAUGCCCCGAAUAAUUCACACUGUUCUGGAGGAAAAGGGGGGUACGACCCAGUACUAGAUGGGUGCACCUAAUAAACUGGCCACUAUAUUUUCCCCAUAGAACAACUUUAGGACUUGUUGGGCUGCCAGGAGUUGUUUGCUGUUACUGUGUGUAUGUUUAAACAGCCCUUGUCAAAAUGGAAGAAAACUGCUUUGACGUUUUUCAAGGCAAGACCCAAUUUCCAGGUUUUGAAAACAUGAUUUUGUCAUGGCAUGUUGAAUGAUCUAAAGAGAAUUCGUCAGCAUUUGUUAGGAUACAGAGACAUAAUUUUGACUUUCAUAAUUGCUUGUUCAUUGAUUCAACUUAUUUUGUACAAAGUUAAUUUCAUAUCCAUGUUGUUAUUUUCCAGUCACAGUAUGUGUAGAAAUUGGAAUGAAUUGUCAAGUGAGUCUCUGCACUUACUAUACAAUACUAUACAAAUAAAAAGUAAACUGUU
Non-coding RNA from Salmo salar (Atlantic salmon), 1126 nucleotides. Lineage: Eukaryota; Metazoa; Chordata; Actinopteri; Salmoniformes; Salmonidae. The record is from RefSeq and is a predicted model, not a curated record.